UCAAGACACACAAGCUUCACAUAACACUCUACAGAACGCCUGAGCAGGCACGUUUUGAGAAGAAGCGAAAGGUCAACCUACAAUUCCAGACGCUCAAGCACCUCAGACGACCAGACUGAACUGCAGAUCACGACAACCAGCUUCACAUUGUACUCUACAGAACGCCUGAGCAGCCAUGUUUUGAGAAGAAGCGAAAGGUUAACCUACAAUUCCAGACGCUCAAGGUCAGUGGAAUAAUCUCUCUCAGCACCUGCUGCCUCAACCUCUCUAACACUACGGUGUGCAAAUUGUAUUCUGUGUUUGUCUAUUCAGUCUUACGUGUAGAUGUGGUGUAGUGGUAAGCUAUAUCGUAUGUUGCAUUAGCCAAAUAUUUUAGCUCUCUUCUUGAUUAGCGAUGGAAAAAAAACAGAAGGCCCUCCAUAAUUUUCCUUAAUUUUCAGAGUGAUUCCCAAUAAAUUGGAAAACUUCAUAGCCUAGCUGAUGGUAUUGAUGGUUAUUGUGUAAUUAGUUAUUCCCUGCACAUUCCCUGGAUACUGUAGUCCAAGCCAAGUAACUCAUUUUACAGGUAAAACAGAAUUAAAUAUAUUUUCUCACCCUAUAUUUUUUGGGGGCCAGAACAUUCUUAAGUUCCUA
Molecule: long non-coding RNA, 633 nt
Organism: Engraulis encrasicolus (European anchovy)
Lineage: Eukaryota; Metazoa; Chordata; Actinopteri; Clupeiformes; Engraulidae
Exons: 4
Source: RefSeq, a predicted model, not a curated record